Non-coding RNA from Sandaracinus amylolyticus, 97 nucleotides. It matches the Rfam family "Bacterial small signal recognition particle RNA". From Rfam's summary of the family: The signal recognition particle (SRP) is a universally conserved ribonucleoprotein involved in the co-translational targeting of proteins to membranes. Lineage: Bacteria; Pseudomonadati; Myxococcota; Polyangiales; Sandaracinaceae. The record is from Rfam.
GCUCAUGGCCUCGCCAACGCUGGCCCGUCAACCCUGCCAGGCCCGGAAGGGAGCAACAGUCGCGGUGACCAGCGUGUGGCGGGGCCCUCUGUUUUUU